UGGGGAAUAUUGCACAAUGGGCGCAAGCCUGAUGCAGCAACGCCGCGUGAGGGACGACGGCCUUCGGGUUGUAAACCUCUUUUAGUAGGGAAGAAGCGAAAGGUGACGGUACCUGCAGAAAAAGCACCGGCUAACUACGUGCCAGCAGCCGCGGUAAUACGUAGGGUGCGAGCGUUGUCCGGAAUUAUUGGGCGUAAAGAGCUCGUAGGCGGUCUGUCGCGUCUGCUGUGAAAACCCGAGGCUCAACCUCGGGCCUGCAGUGGGUACGGGCAGACUAGAGUGCGGUAGGGGAGAAUGGAAUUCCUGGUGUAGCGGUGGAAUGCGCAGAUAUCAGGAGGAACACCGAUGGCGAAGGCAGUUCUCUGGGCCGUAACUGACGCUGAGGAGCGAAAGCGUGGGGAGCGAACAGGAUUAGAUACCCUGGUAGUCCACGCCGUAAACGUUGGGCGCUAGAUGUGGGGACCAUUCCACGGUUUCCGUGUCGCAGCUAACGCAUUAAGCGCCCCGCCUGGGGAGUACGGCCGCAAGGC
RNAcentral lists this ribosomal RNA (530 nucleotides) under uncultured bacterium. RNAcentral's name for it is "partial 16S ribosomal RNA". It matches the Rfam family "Bacterial small subunit ribosomal RNA", at positions 355 to 894 of the family's 1533-position model. The record is from RNAcentral.